ACGGGUAAAAUACUGUAGUGAUAAAAAUAAACCCAGUAAAUAUUAGGAUCUAAAUAAGUAAGCCUAAUAUUAACUAAAGAGUGAAUCAAAGCUUUGGAGGAAAUAAAGCUUAUAAAAGACCCGAGGUAACGGGGUGUAUGUAACACCCUAAAACAUAAAUCCUUUUAUUAUAAAUCCGAGUUUAAUAAUUGUAACAUCCCUAUUUUCAUCAUAAAUAAAAAUUGACAAAACUUCCUAACUAUGUAUUUUAUCUAUGAUAAAUAAAACAAUAUUGUUGUAGCAUAUAAGGUUUCAAUUAAAAACCUUAUUUAGAAACUUAGUAGAGAGUAUUUUGUAAAUGAUCAAGAAGGAGGGGUGAAUGUGGAAAUAUGAGUUAUAGUUAACUAAAUAAGUCAAGGAGGAAAAGAAAUCUCCAGAACCUUGAUACGUGCAGUGAGGUAUAUGACGAUGGAGAAAAAGAGACCAAGAGAAAGUGAUUUCCAACUUGAAAUCUGGAAAUUCAAAGUGUAAAUCUUGUUAAUGCAAGUUUAUAAUCUGAUUUCUAGCAUCAUCAUCUCUUUUUGUGUUUAAGAUGCUAGGAAUUGCUGUGCUUUGGUGAAUCAAGCUAGGGGUCUAGUUAUGUCACGCUUAAAUCUGAGUCAUCGGAACAGUAUUUGUUUUUGAGACUAUUAUUUGUAAUUACUGUUUUUAUUUGGA
This is a long non-coding RNA of Helianthus annuus (common sunflower), 696 nucleotides long. RefSeq lists it as uncharacterized. Lineage: Eukaryota; Viridiplantae; Streptophyta; Magnoliopsida; Asterales; Asteraceae. The record is from RefSeq and is a predicted model, not a curated record. The transcript has 2 exons.